Molecule: long non-coding RNA, 344 nt
Organism: Wasmannia auropunctata (little fire ant)
Lineage: Eukaryota; Metazoa; Arthropoda; Insecta; Hymenoptera; Formicidae
Exons: 3
Source: RefSeq, a predicted model, not a curated record
GGCGGUAAACGCGUUUUCGUGAACGUGUCGCAACUCGCCGGUGGAGACGACUAAUCCAUGAAGUGCCACAUCUUCGAGGAAAUAUGCCGACUGAUACAUCUUUUGUUUUUAUGGCGGUCUAUUCUUUCAAGGGGUAUAAAAAUUAUAAGUUUAAAAAAAUCACUAUGCAAAAAAAGUGCAAUUGAUAAUAGAAUACUCAUUAUCAAUAUAUAAAAAUGACGGAUGCAGCAAGCAACAUGAAAUAAGGAAGAUCAAGCAGUGCCGUUCUAUCGCCGGUACAUCUGAGCGUAUGUGGAAAGUCACAAGAACACUCCACGCCUGCUUUUGUGAUAUUCGGACAUUCC